RNAcentral lists this ribosomal RNA (1205 nucleotides) under metagenome. Its description in RNAcentral is "SSU rRNA". It matches the Rfam family "Eukaryotic small subunit ribosomal RNA", at positions 402 to 1615 of the family's 1831-position model. The record is from RNAcentral.
GAUAGCUACCACAUCUAAGGAAGGCAGCAGGCACGCAAAUUACCCAAUUGUCGACGACAGAGGUAGUAAUAAUAAAUAACAAUACAGGACUCGUCCGAGGCCUUGUAAUUGGAAUGUUUUUAAGAUAAAGACAUGAAGGAGGAACUAUUAGAGGGCAAGUCUGGUGCCAGCAGCCGCGGUAAUUCCAGCUCUAAUAGCGUAUUUUAAUGUUGUUGCGGUUGAAAAGCUCGUAGUUGGAUAUCAUUGAUUGUAUAAGUUCAAUGUGAAUUGUUCUUAUACAGGAGAGGGAAGUCAAGCGGUGAAAAUAAACUUGAAUGUUUAUAUCCACAUAACGCCUGGCUUAAGUUACUUUGAAUAAAUCAAAGUGCUCAAUACAAGCUUUUGCUUGAAUAUAUGUGCAUGGGAUAACGCAAGAAGAUCAAUAUCGAAUCUGUUGGUUGAAUCGAUAUGGGUAAUGAUUAAUAGAGAUUGACGGGGGCAUUUGUAUUUGAAAGCGAGAGGUGAAAUUCUGUGACCUUUCAAAGACAUGCUAAAGCGAAAGCACUUGCCAAGAAUGUUUUCACUAAUCAAGAACGAAAGUUAGAGGCUCGAAGGCGAUUAGAUACCGCCCUAGUUCUAACCAUAAACAAUGCCAACUAACAAUCUUGUGUAGUUUAAGUUGAAACUAACAAGGAAGUUUUCGGAAAACCAAAGUUUUUGGGUUCCGGGGGUAGUAUGGUUGCAAAGCUGAAACUUAAAGUAAUUGACGGAGUGGCACCACCAGGAGUGGAGCCUGUGGCUUAAUUUGACCCAACACGGGGAAGCUCACCAGGGCAAGACACUAUUAGGAUUGACAGAUUGAUAGCUCUUUCUCGAUAAAGUGGGUGGUGGUGCAUGGCCGUUCUUAGUUGGUGGAGUGAUUUGUCUGGUUAAUUCCGAUAACGAACGAGACUCUGACCAAUUACUAGUGAAAUCUUUUGAAAAGAAAGUUACCGCAGUAAUGCAGUUUCAUUCGAGAUUUUACUUCUUAAGGGGACACGCUAUUGUGAAUAGCACGAGGAAGAGCAAUAACAGGUCUGUGAUGCCCUUAGAUGUUCUGGGCUGCACACGCGCUACAAUAAAUUAAUCAACAAGUUCUCCGUUUUGACAGAUGCGGGCAAACUUUUGAAAUUAAUUUAUGGUAGGAAUGGGAACUUGCAAUUAUUUUCCCUGAACUAGGAAUUCCU